AUCCAGCUGAAGAGUCCCAAAUAGGACGAAAUGCGCUUUCGUAU
Schistosoma haematobium is the source of this 44-nucleotide non-coding RNA. The record is from Rfam. Lineage: Eukaryota; Metazoa; Platyhelminthes; Trematoda; Strigeidida; Schistosomatidae.